This 449-nucleotide ribosomal RNA is filed under the name uncultured bacterium. RNAcentral describes it as "bacterial SSU rRNA". It matches the Rfam family "Bacterial small subunit ribosomal RNA", at positions 330 to 793 of the family's 1533-position model. The record is from RNAcentral.
UCCAGACUCCUACGGGAGGCAGCAGUGGGGAAUAUUGGGCAAUGGACGCAAGUCUGACCCAGCAACGCCGCGUGAAGGAAGAAGGCUUUCGGGUUGUAAACUUCUUUUAAGGGGGAAGAGUAGAAGACGGUACCCCUUGAAUAAGCCACGGCUAACUACGUGCCAGCAGCCGCGGUAAUACGUAGGGGGCAAGCGUUAUCCGGAUUUACUGGGUGUAAAGGGGGCGCAGACGGCGAUGCAAGCCAGGAGUGAAAGCCCGGGGCCCAGCCCCGGGACUGCUCUUGGAACUGCGUGGCUGGAGUGCAGGAGGGGCAGGCGGAAUUCCUGGUGUAGCGGUGAAAUGCGUAGAUAUCAGGAGGAACACCGGUGGCGAAGGCGGCCUGCUGGACUGCAACUGACGUUGAGGCCCGAAAGCGUGGGGAGCAAACAGGAUUAGAUACCCGGGUAAG